GAUGAACGCUGGCGGCGUGCCUAAUACAUGCAAGUCGAGCGAACGGACGAGAAGCUUGCUUUUCUGAUGUUAGCGGCGGACGGGUGCGUAACACGUGGAUAACCUACCUAUAAGACUGGGAUAACUUCGCGAAACCGGAGCUAAUACCGGAUAAUAUUUUGAACCGCAUGGUUCAAAAGUGAAAGACGGUCUUGCUGUCACUUAUAGAUGGAUCCGCGCUGCAUUAGCUAGUUGGUAAGGUAACGGCUUACCAAGGCAACGAUGCAUAGCCGACCUGAGAGGGUGGACGGCCACACUGGAACUGAGACAGGGUCCAGACUCCUACGGGAGGAAGCAGUAGGGAAUCUUCCGCAAGGGGCGAAAGCCUGACGGAGCAACGCCGCGUGAGUGAUGAAGGUGUUCGGAUCGUAAAACUCUGUUAUUAGGGAAGAACAAAUGUGUAAGUAACUGUGCACAUCUUGACGGUACCUAAUGAGAAAGCCACGGCUAACUACGUG
This 497-nucleotide ribosomal RNA is filed under the name uncultured bacterium. Its description in RNAcentral is "partial 16S ribosomal RNA". It matches the Rfam family "Bacterial small subunit ribosomal RNA", at positions 28 to 507 of the family's 1533-position model. The record is from RNAcentral.